This 556-nucleotide ribosomal RNA is filed under the name Marinobacter vinifirmus. Its description in RNAcentral is "bacterial LSU rRNA". It matches the Rfam family "Bacterial large subunit ribosomal RNA", at positions 2387 to 2925 of the family's 2925-position model. The record is from RNAcentral. Lineage: Bacteria; Pseudomonadati; Pseudomonadota; Gammaproteobacteria; Pseudomonadales; Marinobacteraceae.
CGUCGAGCAGGUACGAAAGUAGGUCAUAGUGAUCCGGUGGUUCUGUAUGGAAGGGCCAUCGCUCAACGGAUAAAAGGUACUCCGGGGAUAACAGGCUGAUACCGCCCAAGAGUUCACAUCGACGGCGGUGUUUGGCACCUCGAUGUCGGCUCAUCACAUCCUGGGGCUGAAGCCGGUCCCAAGGGUAUGGCUGUUCGCCAUUUAAAGUGGUACGCGAGCUGGGUUUAGAACGUCGUGAGACAGUUCGGUCCCUAUCUGCCGUGGACGUUGGAGAUUUGAGGAAAGCUGCUCCUAGUACGAGAGGACCGGAGUGGACGAACCUCUGGUGUUCGGGUUGUCACGCCAGUGGCAUUGCCCGGUAGCUAUGUUCGGACAGGAUAACCGCUGAAAGCAUCUAAGCGGGAAGCCCCUUCCAAGAUGAGAUCUCCCUGAGGCCUUGAGCCUCCUGAAGAGCCGUUCAAGACCAGGACGUUGAUAGGUCGGGUGUGUAAGCGCUGCGAGGCGUUGAGCUAACCGAUACUAAUUGCUCGUGCGGCUUGACUAUAUAACACCCAAG